UCGUCUUCACUUACAAAACUUGGGGAAGGCAUAAUAAGCUUGUGUAGGGUAUUUGGAGUCCAAUAUGACAAGAUUAGUGUGUAUGACUAAGUAUAAGAAAGUGAAAUGCAACCCGUAUCCUAGCUGCUAAAGUAGAGUAGAUAUAAAACAAAAAAACUCAUAGGGACUUCUUCUCCACUUACAAAACUUGGGUAAGCCAUAAUAAGCUUGUGUAGGGUAUUUGGAGUCCAAUAUGACAAGAUUGGUGUGUAUGACUGAGCAUAAGAAAGUGAAAUGCAACCCGUAUCCUGGCUGCUAAAGUAGAGUAGAUAUAAAACAAAAAAAAAUUCAUAGGGACUUCGUCUUCACUUACAACACUUGGGAAAGCCAUAAUAAGUUUGUGUAUGGUUUUUGGAGUCCAAUAUGACAAGAUUGGUGUGUAUGACUGAGUAUAAGAAAGUGAAAUGCAACCCGGAUCCUGGCUGCUAAAGUAGAGUAGAUAUAAAACAAAAAAACACUCAUAGGGACUUCGUCUUCACUUACAACAUUUGGGAAAGCCAUAAUACGCUUGUGUAUGGUUCGGGGAGUCCAAUAUGACAAGAUUGGUGUGUAUGACUGAGUAUAUGAAAGAGAAAUGCAACCCGGAUCCUGGCUGCUAAAGUAGAGUAGAUACAAAACAAAAAAACUGAUAGGGACUUCGUCUUCACUUACAAAACUUGGGGAAGGCAUAAUAAGCUUGUGUAGGGUAUUUGGAGUCCAAUAUGACAAGAUUAGUGUGUAUGACUGAGUAUAAGAAAGUGAAAUGCAACCCGUAUCCUAGCUGCUAAAGUAGAGUAGAUAUAAAACAAAAAAACUCAUAGGGACUUCGUCCUCACUUACAAAACUUGGGAAAGCCAUAAUAAGCUUGUGUAUGGUUUUUGGAGUCCAAUAUGACAAGACUGGUGUGUAUGACUGAGUGUAAGAAAGUGAAAUGCAACCCGGAUCCUGGCUGCUAAAGUAGAGUAGAUAUAAAACAAAAAAAACUCAUAGGGACUUCGUCCUCACUUACAAAAAUUGGGAAAGCCAUAAUAAGCUUGUGUAUGGUUUUUGGAGUCCAAUAUGACAAGAUU
RNAcentral lists this long non-coding RNA (1088 nucleotides) under Arabidopsis lyrata. RNAcentral's name for it is "long non-coding RNA (ALYR_LNC000205)". Lineage: Eukaryota; Viridiplantae; Streptophyta; Magnoliopsida; Brassicales; Brassicaceae. The record is from RNAcentral.